This 487-nucleotide ribosomal RNA is filed under the name uncultured bacterium. RNAcentral describes it as "partial 16S ribosomal RNA". It matches the Rfam family "Bacterial small subunit ribosomal RNA", at positions 30 to 508 of the family's 1533-position model. The record is from RNAcentral.
AUUGAACGCUGGCGACAUGCCUUACACAUGCAAGUCGAACGGCAGCACGGGUGCUUGCACCUGGUGGCGAGUGGCGAACGGGUGAGUAAUACAUCGGAACAUGUCCUGUAGUGGGGGAUAGCCCGGCGAAAGCCGGAUUAAUACCGCAUACGAUCUACGGAUGAAAGCGGGGGACCUUCGGGCCUCGCGCUAUAGGGUUGGCCGAUGGCUGAUUAGCUAGUUGGUGGGGUAAAGGCCUACCAAGGCGACGAUCAGUAGCUGGUCUGAGAGGACGACCAGCCACACUGGGACUGAGACACGGCCCAGACUCCUACGGGAGGCAGCAGUGGGGAAUUUUGGACAAUGGGCGAAAGCCUGAUCCAGCAAUGCCGCGUGUGUGAAGAAGGCCUUCGGGUUGUAAAGCACUUUUGUCCGGAAAGAAAUCCUUGGCCCUAAUACGGUCGGGGGAUGACGGUACCGGAAGAAUAAGCACCGGCUAACUACGUGC